Molecule: ribosomal RNA, 578 nt
Filed under: uncultured Alcaligenaceae bacterium
Lineage: Bacteria; Pseudomonadati; Pseudomonadota; Betaproteobacteria; Burkholderiales; Alcaligenaceae
Description: bacterial SSU rRNA
Rfam family: Bacterial small subunit ribosomal RNA
Source: RNAcentral
GUAGUCCACGCCCUAAACGAUGUCGACUAGUUGUUGGGGGAGUCUGUCCCUCAGUAACGUAUCUAACGCGUGAAGUCGACCGCCUGGGGAGUACGGUCGCAAGAUUAAAACUCAAAGGAAUUGACGGGGACCCGCACAAGCGGUGGAUUAUGUGGAUUAAUUCGAUGCAACGCGAAGAACCUUACCUACCCUUGACAUGCCAGGAACCCUGCAGAGAUGCAGGGGUGCCCGAAAGGGAACCUGGACACAGGUGCUGCAUGGCUGUCGUCAGCUCGUGUCGUGAGAUGUUGGGUUAAGUCCCGCAACGAGCGCAACCCUUACCAUUAGUUGCUACAUUCAGUUGGGCACUCUAAUGGGACUGCCGGUGACAAACCGGAGGAAGGUGGGGAUGACGUCAAGUCCUCAUGGCCCCUAUGGGUAGGGCUUCACACGUAAUACAAUGGCGCAUACAGAGGGCUGCAAACCCGCGAGGGGGAGCCAAUCCCAAAAAGUGCGUCGUAGUCCGGAUUGUUCUCUGCAACUCGAGAGCAUGAAGUCGGAAUCGCUAGUAAUCGCGGAUCAGCAUGUCGCGGUGAAUA